RNAcentral lists this ribosomal RNA (460 nucleotides) under uncultured bacterium. Its description in RNAcentral is "partial 16S ribosomal RNA". It matches the Rfam family "Bacterial small subunit ribosomal RNA", at positions 338 to 795 of the family's 1533-position model. The record is from RNAcentral.
CCGACGGGAGGUAGCAGGGAGGAAUAUUGGUCAAUGGGCGUAAGCCGGAACCAGCCAAGUCGCGUGAGGGAUGAAGGUUCUAUGGAUCGUAAACCUCUUUUAUAAGGGAAUAAAGUGCGGGACGUGUCCCUUUUUGUGUGUACCUUAUGAAUAAGGAUCGGCUAACUCCGUGCCAGCAGCCGCGGUAAUACGGAGGAUCCGAGCGUUAUCCGGAUUUAUUGGGUUUAAAGGGUGCGUAGGCGGCUUUUUAAGUCAGCGGUGAAAGUCUGUGGCUCAACCAUAGAAUUGCCGUUGAAACUGGGAGGCUUGAGUAUGUUUGAGGAAGGCGGAAUGCGUGGUGUAGCGGUGAAAUGCUUAGAUAUCACGCAGAACCCCGAUUGCGAAGGCAGCCUGCCAAGCCAUGACUGACGCUGAUGCACGAAAGCGUGGGGAUCAAACAGGAUUAGAUACCCGAGUAGUC